GGUGGAGAUGAAGAAGGUGGUGGUGGAGACUUGUAGAUGUAAGGGGGAGGAGGGGAGGGUGAUGGUGGUGGUGGGGAUUUGUAGUAGUAAGGUGGAGGAGGUGAAGGAGAAGGAGGUGG
This is a non-coding RNA of Malus domestica (apple), 119 nucleotides long. Lineage: Eukaryota; Viridiplantae; Streptophyta; Magnoliopsida; Rosales; Rosaceae. The record is from RefSeq and is a predicted model, not a curated record.